AGAACGAACGCUGGCGGCAGGCCUAAUACAUGCAAGUCGAGCGCCCAGCAAUGGGAGCGGCGGACGGGUGCGUAACACGUGGGAACGUACCCUUUGGUUCGGGAUAACUCAGGGAAACUUGAGCUAAUACCGAUUAAGCCCGUAAGGGGAAAGAUUUAUCGCCAAAGGAUCGGCCCGCGUUCGAUUAGCUAGUUGGUGGGGUAAUGGCUCACCAAGGCAACGAUCGAUAGCUGGUUUGAGAGAACGACCAGCCACACUGGGACUGAGACACGGCCCAGACUCCUACGGGAGGCAGCAGUAGGGAAUCUUGGACAAUGGGGGAAACCCUGAUCCAGCCAUGCCGCGUGAGUGAUGAAGGCCUUCGGGUUGUAAAACUCUUUCGCGCACGACGAUAAUGACGGUAGUGCGAGAAGAAGCUCCGGCUAACUUCGUGCCAGCAGCCGC
This 444-nucleotide ribosomal RNA is filed under the name uncultured bacterium. Its description in RNAcentral is "SSU rRNA". It matches the Rfam family "Bacterial small subunit ribosomal RNA", at positions 26 to 518 of the family's 1533-position model. The record is from RNAcentral.